RNAcentral lists this ribosomal RNA (301 nucleotides) under uncultured bacterium. RNAcentral describes it as "partial 16S ribosomal RNA". It matches the Rfam family "Bacterial small subunit ribosomal RNA", at positions 509 to 807 of the family's 1533-position model. The record is from RNAcentral.
CAGUAGCCGCGGGAACACGAGGGGGGCAAGCGUUGUUCGGAAUUAUUGGGCGUAAAGGGCGCGUAGGCGGUUUGGCAAGUUUGGUGUGAAAUCUUCGGGCUCAACUCGAAGUCUGCAUCGAAAACUGCCGGGCUUGAGUAUGGGAGAGGUGAGUGGAAUUUCCUGUGUAGCGGUGAAAUGCGUAGAUAUAGGAAGGAACAUCAGUGGCGAAGGCGACCACCUGGACUGAUACUGACACUGAGGUGCGAAAGCGUUGGGAGCAAACAGGAUUAGAUACCCCCGUAGUCCCUGUCUCUUAUAC